ACACGGAGGGCGCAAGCGUCGCUCGGAAUCACUGGGCGUAAAGCGGGUGUAGGCGGUCUAGCAAGUCAGAUGUGAAAGCCCACGGCUCAACCGUGGAAGUGCAUCUGAAACUGCUAGACUUGAGUGCCGGAGAGGGAAGUGGAAUUCCUGGUGUAGGGGUGAAAUCCGUAGAUAUCAGGAGGAACACCGGUGGCGAAGGCGACUUCCUGGACGGCCACUGACGCUGAGACCCGAAAGCGUGGGGAGCAAACAGGAUUAGAAACCCUAGUAGUCC
This 274-nucleotide ribosomal RNA is filed under the name uncultured bacterium. RNAcentral describes it as "partial 16S ribosomal RNA". It matches the Rfam family "Bacterial small subunit ribosomal RNA", at positions 523 to 796 of the family's 1533-position model. The record is from RNAcentral.